This 253-nucleotide ribosomal RNA is filed under the name uncultured bacterium. RNAcentral describes it as "partial 16S ribosomal RNA". It matches the Rfam family "Bacterial small subunit ribosomal RNA", at positions 524 to 776 of the family's 1533-position model. The record is from RNAcentral.
UACGUAGGGGGCAAGCGUUGUCCGGAUUUAUUGGGCGUAAAGAGCGUGUAGGCGGCCAUUCAGGUCAGCUGUGAAAACUCGAGGCUCAACCUCGAGACGUCGGUUGAAACCGUUUGGCUAGAGUCCGGAAGAGGAGAGUGGAAUUCCCGGUGUAGCGGUGAAAUGCGCAGAUAUCGGGAAAAACACCCGUGGCGAAGGCGGCUCUCUGGGACGGUACUGACGCUGAGACGCGAAAGCGUGGGGAGCGAACAGG